RNAcentral lists this small RNA (146 nucleotides) under Salmonella enterica subsp. enterica serovar Infantis. RNAcentral's name for it is "QUAD RNA". It matches the Rfam family "Short Intergenic Abundant RNA". Rfam says of the family: This family contains multiple ncRNA from E. coli that were identified in a large scale screen of E. coli, were they were called candidates 43,55 and 61. Lineage: Bacteria; Pseudomonadati; Pseudomonadota; Gammaproteobacteria; Enterobacterales; Enterobacteriaceae. The record is from RNAcentral. RNAcentral also lists the same sequence under 13 other names.
UUGACAUUAUUCUUGAUGUGGCUUAACGUCAGGAGUGAGGGUUAGGGAGGAUUCCUCCUCCCCUUGGUGUCUUAGUAAGCCUGGAAGCUAAUCACUAAGAGUAUCACCAGUAUGAUGACUACCUUCAUCAUAACCCUUUCCUUAUU